This 107-nucleotide small RNA is filed under the name Marmota monax (woodchuck). The record is from RNAcentral. Lineage: Eukaryota; Metazoa; Chordata; Mammalia; Rodentia; Sciuridae.
GCCAGGUGUGGUGAUGCACACCUAUAAUCCCAGCUACUCAGGAGGCUGAGGGAGGAGGAUCACAAGUUCAAGAUUAGCCUCAGAAACUCAGUGAGACCCUAUCUCAC